Molecule: non-coding RNA, 432 nt
Organism: Pelobates cultripes (western spadefoot toad)
Lineage: Eukaryota; Metazoa; Chordata; Amphibia; Anura; Pelobatidae
Source: the annotation of a GenBank genome assembly
CUUUUUCGUAUGAUGGCCGCCAUGCCUGCUCGGUGGCCAUCUUUAAAUUUGGAUAGUGCUUGGCCUCAGCAGCACACAGGUCGAAACCAGCAUUCCUCCUGUGUGCUCUAGUGUUUGUUGCAUUGCGAUGGGUUAAUGUGCCCCCAUUACAGCUUCUACUUCCCAACCACAGCCCUAUACCCCUAUUACAGACCCUAUUAUUCCACCACAGUCCAUAAUUUCCCAUUAUAGCCCUCAAUACCCUUCACAGCCCCUAUUCCCCUACUAAACCCCCCCCCCCACACACAAUAUAGUCCUUACCCCAAUUACAUCCCAUGUACCCCAUUACAGCCCAUAUUCCCCCUCUAUAGACCCUAACCCCCACACACAUUAAAACCCUGACGCCAAUAACAUCCCCUUUACACUUUUACAUCCCAUAUUCCCCCACUAUAG